Molecule: non-coding RNA, 83 nt
Organism: Solanum tuberosum (potato)
Lineage: Eukaryota; Viridiplantae; Streptophyta; Magnoliopsida; Solanales; Solanaceae
Source: Rfam
GGAAAGCCUCUUGCUCAAAUGAGUAUUCCAACAAAUGUCUAAUUGACAUACUUUGAGAUACUCAUUUGGGCAAGAAGUUUUAC